CACGGGGGGAGCAAGCGUUGUUCGGAAUUACUGGGCGUAAAGGGCGUGUAGGCGGUUGAGUAAGUGAGAUGUGAAAUGCCCCGGCUCACCCGGGGACCGGCAUCUCAAACUGCUCAGCUCGAGUACGGGAGAGGAUGAGGGAAUUCCUGGUGUAGCGGUGAAAUGCGUAGAUAUCAGGAGGAACACCGGUGGCGAAAGCGCUCAUCUGGCCCGAUACUGACGCUGAGGCGCGAAAGCUAGGGGAGCAAACGGG
This 253-nucleotide ribosomal RNA is filed under the name uncultured bacterium. RNAcentral's name for it is "partial 16S ribosomal RNA". It matches the Rfam family "Bacterial small subunit ribosomal RNA", at positions 524 to 776 of the family's 1533-position model. The record is from RNAcentral.